Pelodiscus sinensis (Chinese soft-shelled turtle) is the source of this 328-nucleotide non-coding RNA. The record is from RefSeq and is a predicted model, not a curated record. Lineage: Eukaryota; Metazoa; Chordata; Testudines; Trionychidae.
CAGUCUCCAGCCUGAAUUCCAGCCCUCCUGCGCCCUCCAGAGGCCCCGGCCCCACUUCACCAGCACCCCUGGCGCACAGCCACAGCCCUCUGCCGGGUGUCAGCCCGGAUUCGAGCCCCAGACCCCACACUGGAGGCAGCCCCACCUCCCCAGCCGCCCCCAUGCACAGCGACAGCCCUCUGCCGGCAGCCCCGGCCACGCCCCGGCACCCGGAUUUCACCCAGGGCAACCUCGUCCGUCUGGGCCUCGGCGCCGGAGUCCUGCUGGCCCUGGCGCUGGGGCUGGCCACGUCCUGCUGUAGCUGGGAGAGAGGGGGAACCCCCCUGCC